This 465-nucleotide ribosomal RNA is filed under the name Vreelandella stevensii. RNAcentral's name for it is "partial 16S ribosomal RNA". It matches the Rfam family "Bacterial small subunit ribosomal RNA", at positions 338 to 795 of the family's 1533-position model. Lineage: Bacteria; Pseudomonadati; Pseudomonadota; Gammaproteobacteria; Oceanospirillales; Halomonadaceae. The record is from RNAcentral.
CCUAGGGGAGGCAGCAGUGGGGAAUAUUGGACAAUGGGGGCAACCCUGAUCCAGCCAUGCCGCGUGUGUGAAGAAGGCCCUCGGGUUGUAAAGCACUUUCAGUGAGGAAGAACGCCUGGUGGUUAAUACCCAUCAGGAAAGACAUCACUCACAGAAGAAGCACCGGCUAACUCCGUGCCAGCAGCCGCGGUAAUACGGAGGGUGCGAGCGUUAAUCGGAAUUACUGGGCGUAAAGCGCGCGUAGGUGGCUUGAUAAGCCGGUUGUGAAAGCCCCGGGCUCAACCUGGGAACGGCAUCCGGAACUGUCAAGCUAGAGUGCAGGAGAGGAAGGUAGAAUUCCCGGUGUAGCGGUGAAAUGCGUAGAGAUCGGGAGGAAUACCAGUGGCGAAGGCGGCCUUCUGGACUGACACUGACACUGAGGUGCGAAAGCGUGGGUAGCAAACAGGAUUAGAUACCCUAGUAGUC